CAGCCGCCACGGUAAUACGUAGGGUGCGAGCGUUAAUCGGAAUUACUGGGCGUAAAGCGUGCGCAGGCGGUUAUGUAAGACAGAUGUGAAAUCCCCGGGCUCAACCUGGGAACUGCAUUUGUGACUGCAUGGCUAGAGUACGGUAGAGGGGGAUGGAAUUCCGCGUGUAGCAGUGAAAUGCGUAGAUAUGCGGAGGAACACCGAUGGCGAAGGCAAUCCCCUGGACCUGUACUGACGCUCAUGCACGAAAGCGUGGGGAGCAAACAGGAUUAGAUACCCCCGUAGUCCCUGUCUCUUAUAC
Molecule: ribosomal RNA, 301 nt
Filed under: uncultured bacterium
Lineage: Bacteria
Description: partial 16S ribosomal RNA
Rfam family: Bacterial small subunit ribosomal RNA
Source: RNAcentral